CCUACGGGUGGCAGCAGUGGGGGAUAUUGCACAAUGGGGGAAACCCUGAUCCAGCGACGCCGCGUGUGGGAAGACGGUCUUCUGGAUUGUAAACCACUGUCCCCAGGGACGAAAAUGACGGUACCUGGGGCGGAAGCUCCGGCAGACUACGUGCCAGCAGCCGCGGUCAUUCGUAGGGGGCACGGGUUGUCCGGAAUUACUGGGUGUAUAGGGAGCGUGGGCGGGGAUGCAAGUUGGGGGUCAAACCUACCGGCGCAACCGAUAGUGGCACUUAAAACUGCAGCUCUUGAGUGAAGGAGAGGCAGGCGGAAUGCCUAGUGUAGCGGUGAAAUGCGUAGAUAUUAGGAGGAACACCAGUGGCGAAGGCGGCCUGCUGGGCUUUUACUGACGCUGAGGCUCGAAAGUGUGGGGAGCAAACAGGAUUAGAUACCCGAGUAGUC
This 440-nucleotide ribosomal RNA is filed under the name uncultured bacterium. Its description in RNAcentral is "partial 16S ribosomal RNA". It matches the Rfam family "Bacterial small subunit ribosomal RNA", at positions 338 to 795 of the family's 1533-position model. The record is from RNAcentral.